Long non-coding RNA from Oncorhynchus tshawytscha (Chinook salmon), 786 nucleotides. RefSeq lists it as uncharacterized. The transcript has 5 exons. Lineage: Eukaryota; Metazoa; Chordata; Actinopteri; Salmoniformes; Salmonidae. The record is from RefSeq and is a predicted model, not a curated record.
AUAAGGGAUCAUAGCUUUCACCUGGAUUCACCUGGUCAGUCUGUCAUGGAAAGAGCAGGUGUUCUUAAUGCCUUCUAGCGGGAUGCAAUAGAGCUAAAUGGGGGUUAGAGUGCCCUAUGGCUACACUCUUAGAAAAAAGGGUUCCCAAAGGGUUCUUUAGCUUUCACCAUUGAAGAAACCCAUUUGGUUCCAGGUAGAACACUUGUUGUUGUUACAGGUUAUAUAUAGAAAGGGUUCUACUGCAUCAUCCACAGUCUGCUGAGGAUAAAGCAGUUCUGCUUGGCGCUGACAUAUCUAUACUGGAUCAGACCAGCCACAGACAGCCCCUACAACCUCAAGCUCUCUGUCGAUGUACUCCUACAGAACAGCCAUAUCUCAGAUGCCUGGUUCCUCCUAAAGAAAGGCCACACAGGAAGUGAUGACAUGUCAGGUACUUCCUCAAUGGAUGUGAGAGGCUUGGUCUAUGUGUGGAGGCUUCAGACUGCAUGGAAGCAGUAUGGAAGGAUGUAGGCCAUUGUACUAAUCAGUCGGAAGAGACUGAGAGUCAGUGUGGAAUAGAGGGGCUUCCUCAGCGUUGGUGGACCACAGGGAUCCCUUUGGCAGUGAAAGAGCCAGGGGUUCCUAUUCGUCUGUUCUCUGCCCUGCAGUAUCAGUCUCAGAACAGCAACACUCUCUCUCCAGAGGAUUGGAUCAGACUCCUCAGGGAAUCUAUGAUUUAACUCAGACAACUCCAGCCAACAUUGAGUUCUCUGCUGCCAACGACUGGAACAAACUGCAGAAAUCGCU